This 459-nucleotide ribosomal RNA is filed under the name uncultured bacterium. RNAcentral's name for it is "partial 16S ribosomal RNA". It matches the Rfam family "Bacterial small subunit ribosomal RNA", at positions 338 to 795 of the family's 1533-position model. The record is from RNAcentral.
CCUACGGUGGGCAGCAGUGAGGAAUAUUGGUCAAUGGUCGGGAGACUGAACCAGCCAAGCCGCGUGAGGGAUGAAGGUACAGAGUAUCGUAAACCUCUUUUGUCAGGGCACAAAGGCGGGGACGUGUCCCCGGAUGAGUGUACCUGAAGAAAAAGCAUCGGCUAACUCCGUGCCAGCAGCCGGGGUAAUAAGGAGGAUGCGAGCGUUAUCAGGAUUUAUUGGGUUAAAAGGGUGCGCAGGCGGUCCGUUCAGUUAGCGGUAAAAGCCCGGGGCUCAACCCGGGACCGCCGUUGAAACUGGCAGUCUCGAGUUGGAGAGAAGUAUGCGGAAUGCGCGGUGUAGCGGUGAAAUGCAUAGAUAUCGCGCAGAACUCCGAUUGCGAAGGCAGCAUGCCGGCUCCACACUGACGCUGAGGCACGAAAGCGUGGGUAUCGAACAGGAUUAGAUACCCCUGUAGUC